AGUGAACGCUGGCGGUAGGCCUAACACAUGCAAGUCGAACGGCAGCACAGUAAGAGCUUGCUCUUACGGGUGGCGAGUGGCGGACGGGUGAGGAAUACAUCGGAAUUUACUUUUUCGUGGGGGAUAACGUAGGGAAACUUACGCUAAUACCGCAUACGACCUACGGGUGAAAGCAGGGGAUCUUCGGACCUUGCGCGAUUGAAUGAGCCGAUGUCGGAUUAGCUAGUUGGCGGGGUAAAGGCCCACCAAGGCGACGAUCCGUAGCUGGUCUGAGAGGAUGAUCAGCCACACUGGAGCUGAGACACGGUCCAGACUCCUACGGGAGGCAGCAGUGGGGAAUAUUGGACAAUGGGCGCAAGCCUGAUCCAGCCAUACCGCGUGGGUGAAGAAGGCCUUCGGGUUGUAAAGCCCUUUUGUUGGGAAAGAAAAGCAGCAGGUUAAUACCCCGCUGUUCUGACGGUACCCAAAGAAUAAGCACCGGCUAACUUCGUG
Molecule: ribosomal RNA, 492 nt
Filed under: uncultured bacterium
Lineage: Bacteria
Description: partial 16S ribosomal RNA
Rfam family: Bacterial small subunit ribosomal RNA
Source: RNAcentral